GACGAACGCUGGCGGCGUGCUUAACACAUGCAAGUCGAACGGAAAGGCCCCUUUGGGGGUACUCGAGUGGCGAACGGGGGAGUAACACGUGAGUAACCUGCCCUUGACUACGGGACAACUUUAGGAAACUGGGGCUAAUACCGGAAAGGAAUCAUAGCUGCAUGGGGGGGGUUGGAAAGCUUCGGCGGUUUUGGAUGGACUCGCGGCAUAUCAGCUUGUUGGUGGGGUAGUGGCUUACCAAGGCUUUGACGGGUAGCCGGCCUGAGAGGGCGACCGGCCACAUUGGGACUGAGAUGCGGCCCAGACUCCUACGGGUGGCAGCAGUGGGGAAUAUUGCACAAUGGGCGGAGGCCUGAUGCAGCAACGCCGCGUGCGGGAUGACGGCCUUCGGGUUGUAAACCGCUUUCAGCAGGGGCGAAGCUUGUGGUGACGGUACCUGCAGAAGAAGCACCGGCUAACUACGUG
This 465-nucleotide ribosomal RNA is filed under the name uncultured bacterium. RNAcentral's name for it is "partial 16S ribosomal RNA". It matches the Rfam family "Bacterial small subunit ribosomal RNA", at positions 28 to 507 of the family's 1533-position model. The record is from RNAcentral.